Molecule: non-coding RNA, 673 nt
Organism: Epinephelus fuscoguttatus (brown-marbled grouper)
Lineage: Eukaryota; Metazoa; Chordata; Actinopteri; Perciformes; Serranidae
Source: the annotation of a RefSeq genome assembly
CUGGGUAAACUGGGAAUGUGUUUGGUGAGUGUGUUUGUGUCAAAGUCAGAGAGCCGUGUCUCUGUACAGUCAGAGGUUUUUGUACGACGACUCAAUCAGUUUGUAUCACUGUGGUUGACUUUUGGUGGAGGAACCAGACUGGAUGUUGGAAGUGAUGUCCGUCCCACCCUGACGGUGCUGCCCCCCUCCAGAGAGGAGCUGCAGCAGGGGAAGGCCACGCUCAUGUGCCUGGCCAACAAGGGCUUCCCCUCAGACUGGAGUCUGGCCUGGAAGGUGGACGGCAGCAGCAGCAGCAGCAGCAGCAGCUGGGAGGAGAGCAGGAGCCCCGGGGUGCUGGAGAAGGACGGCCACUACAGCUGGAGCAGCACCCUGAGGCUCCCUGCAGACCAGUGGGGGAAGGUGGGCUCUGUGACCUGUGAGGCCACCCAGGGCUCCCAGACUCCGCUCUCAGAGACACUGAGGAGAGACCAGUGUUCCCAGUCCUGACCUAACUCACUGGGACUCUGCUACUGGUUUUACUCUGCUACUGUUCUCACUCUGCCAACCUCUCUUAUUCUAUCCAUCAGUCAAUGUUUCAACAUUAACACUUUACUGCUUGUGUUGAUGGUUUCAACAUUUUAAAUCAAUAAAGACUUUAUCACGUGUUUAUCAGUCUGGUGUCUUUUGACUUCAU